Molecule: small nuclear RNA, 18 nt
Filed under: Arabidopsis thaliana (thale cress)
Lineage: Eukaryota; Viridiplantae; Streptophyta; Magnoliopsida; Brassicales; Brassicaceae
Description: snRNA_11379
Source: RNAcentral
CCAAGGCUAAAUACGGGC